AGAGUUUGAUCAUGGCUCAGGAUGAACGCUGGCGGCGUGCCUAAUACAUGCAAGUCGAGCGAAUUGACAGAGGUGCUUGCACCUCUCGAUUUUAGCGGCGGACGGGUGAGUAACACGUGGGUAACCUACCUAUAAGACUGGGAUAACUUCGGGAAACCGGAGCUAAUACCGGAUAAUAUUUAGCUUCGCAUGAAGCAAUAGUGAAAGACGGUUCUGCUGUCACUUAUAGAUGGACCUGCGGUGUAUUAGCUAGUUGGUGAGGUAACGGCUCACCAAGGCAACGAUACAUAGCCGACCUGAGAGGGUGAUCGGCCACACUGGGACUGAGACACGGCCCAGACUCCCACGGGAGGCAGCAGUAGGGAAUCUUCCGCAAUGGACGAAAGUCUGACGGAGCAACGCCGCGUGAGUGAAGAAGGUUUUCGGAUCGUAAAACUCUGUUGUAAGGGAAGAACAAGUACGUUAGUAACUGAACGUACCUUGACGGUACCUUACCAGAAAGCCUCGGCUAACUACGUGCCAGCAGCCGCGGUAAUACGUAGGUGGCAAGCGUUAUCCGGAAUUAUUGGGCGUAAAACGCGUGUAGGCGGUCUCUUAAGUCUGAUGUGAAAGCCCCCGGCUCAACCGGGGAGGGUCAUUGGAAACUGGGAGACUUGGGUACAGAAGAGGAGAGUGGAAUUCCAUGUGUGGCGGUGAAAUGCGCAGAGAUAUGGAGGAACACCAGUGG
Molecule: ribosomal RNA, 727 nt
Filed under: uncultured Macrococcus sp.
Lineage: Bacteria; Bacillati; Bacillota; Bacilli; Caryophanales; Staphylococcaceae
Description: bacterial SSU rRNA
Rfam family: Bacterial small subunit ribosomal RNA
Source: RNAcentral